Otolemur garnettii (small-eared galago) is the source of this 105-nucleotide small nuclear RNA. Lineage: Eukaryota; Metazoa; Chordata; Mammalia; Primates; Galagidae. The record is from Ensembl.
GUGCUCACUUCAGCAGUGCAUAUACUAAAAUUGGAAUGAUACAGAGAAGAUUAGCAUGGCCCCUGCAGAAGAAUAACACCCAAACAUGAAGUGUUCCAUAUAUAA